UGGUUGAUCCUGCCAGAGGUUACUGCUAUCGAGGUUCGACUAAGCCAUGCGAGUCGAAUGUAGCAAUACAUGGCGUACUGCUCAGUAACACGUGGACAACCUGCCCUUGAGACGGGGAUAAACCCGGGAAACUGGGUAUAAUACCCGAUAGAUCUCGAUUGCUGGAAUGCAUCGAGCUUGAAAGCUCCGGCGCUCAAGGAUGGGUCUGCGGCCUAUCAGGUAGUAGUGGGUGUAGCGUACCUACUAGCCUACGACGGGUACGGGUUGUGAGAGCAAGAGCCCGGAGAUGGAUUCUGAGACACGAAUCCAGGCCCUACGGGGUGCAGCAGGCGCGAAAACUUUACAAUGCUGGAAACAGCGAUAAGGGGACCUCGAGUGCCAGGUUACAAAUCUGGCUGUCGUGAUGCCUAAAAAGCAUUGCAUAGCAAGGGCCGGGCAAGACCGGUGCCAGCCGCCGCGGUAACACCGGCGGCUCGAGUGGUAACCGUUAUUAUUGGGUCUAAAGGGUCCGUAGCCGGUUUGGUCAGUCCUCCGGGAAAUCUGAUAGCUCAACUAUUAGGCUUUCGGGGGAUACUGCCAGGCUUGGGACCGGGAGAGGUAAGAGGUACUACAGGGGGUAGGAGUGAAAUCUUGUAAUCCCUGUGGGACCACCUGUGGCGAAGGCGUCUUACCAGAACGGGUUCGACGGUGAGGGACGAAAGCUGGGGGCACGAACCGGAUUAGAUACCCCGGGUAGUCCCAGCCUGUAAACGAUGCUCGCUAGGGUGUCAGGCAUGGCGCGACCGUGUCUGGGUGCCGCAGGGAAGCCGUGAAGCGAGCCACCCUGGGAAGUACGGCCGCAAGGCUGAAACUUAAAGGAAUUGGCGGG
Molecule: ribosomal RNA, 868 nt
Filed under: uncultured archaeon
Lineage: Archaea
Description: bacterial SSU rRNA
Rfam family: Archaeal small subunit ribosomal RNA
Source: RNAcentral